RNAcentral lists this long non-coding RNA (460 nucleotides) under Monodelphis domestica (gray short-tailed opossum). RNAcentral describes it as "lncRNA (ENSMODG00000040504.1)". The record is from RNAcentral. Lineage: Eukaryota; Metazoa; Chordata; Mammalia; Didelphimorphia; Didelphidae.
AGACAAUGAGGAUUAAGUGACUUCAGUCACACAGCUGGGAAGUGUCAGAGGUCAGAUUUGAAACCAGGACAUCUCUCUAGACCUGCAUCCUUCAUUUUUGAAGAUAACUAAUGCCAUCAUAGGGCAAAAUCUUCACUUGCCCAUGAGUUGGAUUUAAGUGAGGCAGAGUUUCACAAAGUCAUCAGCCUCACUCUUUCUUCGAGAGUCAUCGAUGUUCAGUGGCAAGAUAAAAUUUUGGCUGACUGUUAGAUGGCAUGAGGAUGACAACUAUAGCAGAUGACCUUCAUAUGGGAGUACUGAAUAACUACAUUUGUGAGCGCUAUCUCUCCACAUGUCAAGGAAACCAUCAGGAAGGUCUUGCUCAAGAAUUUCAGCCAGAUGAAUAUAUCCUCAUCAAAAGGAACUGGCAUUCUCCCAGGAUAAGGGGACAAGAGCCAUUGCACAGGGCCGAAGAGGCACG